Molecule: RNA transcript, 2693 nt
Organism: Gopherus flavomarginatus (Mexican gopher tortoise)
Lineage: Eukaryota; Metazoa; Chordata; Testudines; Testudinidae
Gene: GTPBP8
Gene name: GTP binding protein 8 (putative)
Exons: 9
Source: RefSeq, a predicted model, not a curated record
AACUGCAAAGGGAAAAAUGGGUCUGUGCCUUUCUUCUUCCUCUUUACGGGGGGCGGGCGGAAGAAAGCCUGAAAGGCUGGGAGACUGGGCAGAGAUGCUCCAGCUACAGAGGCUGAGGCGGCUUGCGGGGGCAAACUGCCUGCUCCGGAGACACAGCGCUACGUGGAGGAGCUCUCCCAAAAAUGCAUCCUUUGCAGAAGUGCUGCAGCUGGAGGAUAAAAAGCUCACUGGUGUAGUUUUCCCUCUCCAGGGUCUAGAGAGGUAUCUAGCCCCAGGAGUGAACACUGCAAGCUUCCGGACUUUCAGCCCCGGCCUGGAUGACAUUCACAGGGCAGAGGCGCUUUUCAAACCCUCGGGCAGACACGUGAUUGAUUAUUUCAGUUCUGCUGUCCGCAUGGACCAUGCACCACAGCUGUCGCAGCCUGAGGUGUGCUUUGUGGGCAGAAGCAAUGUUGGGAAAUCCUCCUUAAUAAAGGCCUUGUUUUCAUUGGCUCCCGAUGUUGAAGUCAGAGUGUCGAAAACUCCAGGCCACACAAAGAAAAUGAAUUUCUUCAAAGUGGGGAAAUACUUUACCUUGGUGGACAUGCCAGGCUAUGGCUACCGAGCCCCGCAAGACUUUGCUGACAUGGUGGAAGCCUAUUUACAAGAGCGUCAGAACUUGAAGAGGACGUUCUUAUUAGUGGACAGCGUGGUAGGAUUUCAGAAAGCAGACCACACUGCCAUAGAAAUGUUGGAGGAGUUUGGGAUCCCUUACGUUUUUGUGUUAACCAAAAUCGACAAAGCUUCCAAGGGACUGUUGGUUAAAAAUGUACUGGAGAUCCAGGACUUCGCAGAGAAGCACACUCAGGGGUGCUUUCCUCAACUCUUCCCAGUCAGUUCCAUAGAGUAUUCUGGCAUCCACCUGCUGAGGUGUUUUAUAGCCCAUGUUACAGGAAACCUUCCCAUGAUGAAUUCCUGACAGCCACAACUCUCCUGUUGUAUUCUACUCAUCCAGCACAACAGUGUUGACAAGGAAGUAGCAAGAACACUCUUUCCUGCUGUAUGGCUUCCUACCUGGAGGUGGAAGGGACUUGUCCUUUAAGAAGUUACGAGAGGAUGAUGCCGUUAAAGGAAGUCUGGUGCACAAGCUGCAUGGAGUUACGUGGUACCUCUGCCAGGCAUAACUCUAUGCUGUGCCCCAAGGGAAAUUACCCUAAUGUAAUCAAGCACCAGUGGCUACAAGCUGUGAGGGCUCUCCACCACCCCAUCAGUUCCUAGGAGAAAGAGCAGAUGAAGUAAUAGCAGGAGGAAAGCUGUGGCUUUGUUAAUGAUCCUACAUGAAAAGCCACCAUUUCCAGGACACGGUACAACUUUUCAAGCAGUUGAAUUUUCUCUUCAUUUGUUGUCCUCACAGCAAUCUGGUGCCUGAGGAAUACAAAUACAUUCCCUUAAUUGCAUGCCCAGGCCAAAGAGAAACCUCUUCAUUUUAAGGUUGGCAAUGUAAUAAAUGUUAAAAAAACUCAAGAGGCUGGAUGAUUUAAAACCUACUUUUCCAUUUGUACUUAAGUGUCUUUCUAAAGGAAGAUGCAUCUUCCAAUGAGAGUGCAACUAUUAAAACAUUUACAAUUAAAGCCUUUUCACUAGAUUUAGUGUAUCCUCUUAGGUAGUAAAAAGAUGCACUAGAACUAUCUACAUAUAAGCAAUUAAACUACAUAACUGUACAUUUUUAGUAUGUUAAAAAUAGUGAGGGAUAUUGCUUAUUUACUAGAUAAAGUACUUUUUGCUCUGAUUUGUGUCAAGCUGUAUGAGGACGGUAACUGGAAUUUAAACAAACAAAACAGCAUAUAAAAAUACCACCUUAAAAAUGUUUUGGAUAGAUAAUCUCUUAUCAAAGCAUGUUCCAUGUUUACAACUAAUCUCUAUUUAAUAAAUCAUUUAAUUACUCAGUGAAUUAAACUGGUUAUUUCAGGUAGCUUGGGAAAGUUUUCAAAUAUGCUUAAGUAAAAGUGACAGUUUAAAUUCCUAAUCUCACCUAAGUAUCUUGAAAAUAAGAUGUCUCCUAAAUUACUCAGGCUGACCUAUUGUGCCAUAUUUAAAAAGCUUGAUUUAAUAAAAAAUCAAAUUUCAAAUAAAAUCUAAUCCUGAACCUAAGACUAUAGAUAAAAUUGAGUACCUAUACAGUUUAUAUGUUCUCUAGCAAGCAUCCAGCCAAUUCAGCAUGAUCAGACAUCACAAUAACCUUUCAUCUAAUCUCUCCCACUACAUUUUUAAUCAGUUCAAAUAUAUCAAAAACUAUAAAGGCAGUGAACCAUCCAUGUACACAGGAGUAUUUUUAGACUACAUCUAUAUACAAUACCUAAUAUGAUAAAUCUUAGUUACACAACACUAUUAUGCAUGCUUUGUAAUGUUAAAAUAUUACUAUUCUGCAGCUAUAUGUAUAGGGGUAGACUCUGAACCUGCAUGGUUUAUGUAGCAUGGCACAAGAUAAAGCAGGGGGCUGAGGAUCUACUGAAGAAAAGACUAUAAAAGAGCUAGAAGGUAGAAUAUUAGGACUUUUAUAUUUUGAACAAGUGUGUCAAGUCUUGAGGGUUUUUCUGUAGAACUUGAAAACUCAACGACUCUUGAUAGAUGGGACAUGGAAUAGGUGUCACUGCAAUAUGUAAUAACUAACAUUCACAUGGCUGGAUAUUAGAGAAUGCAUGAACUGUAAAAGA